AUGCUUUCCCAUUUGUUGUCACCAAGGCAGAGGGCAACAAAAUCCAGAAAGCGCUGGAAACGCGUAGGAAUAAUAAUGACAUCCAGAGGGAGAAAAGGGAACACAAACGGAAAGACUGGUACAAGGCUAAAAAAAAAAUCUUUCGUUUCCAGACUUGUAAAACAACCUCUUAGGAGCUGCAUUUCCAUGGCACUGGUGGUUUCGCAGCACAGAUGUGACUUCACAUCUUCACAAGCUUCAACCCUAAGCUUCACAGGGAAAGGAAACAGAAACAGUCGAAGGACCAAGGUUGUGUGCCAAGUCCCAGCUGGGAUUUCUGCAUGACUUCAGGGCUAUGUAUUUCCGAGAGGAUGAUUCUGAAAUCUCAUUUUUUGUAACAUCUUCACCACCAACAACAUUCAAUGAAGGGGAAAAGACGAUGGAGGGGGAGAAGGGAUAGAUCAAAAAGCAAAAGCCAUGGGCAGGCAGUCCCAAAUUCCAGAUUCAGACUCUACAAAACCUGGGCGACUUUUUCAUUCUGGAGUCAGACCUGAACACCAGAAAAAAUUUACCCUAUUUCAGCCAAGCUGAGUUCCCUUUAUAUAACACAGUGGCAUAUCAAUAGGUACCUUAGGCAACAUGUAAUGUCUGGGUUGGACCACCUGGGAAAUGCCGCAGGGACUUGUAAUUUAGGAGCCAGACUGCUGGUUAGAUGGGCACAUUCUCCGAAGAGGCCCACGAAAUCAGCUUUUAGCAGUACGUUGCCCACACUUGACAUUUUAUUAAAGCCUCAGCUCAGCAAGGCAUGUAAUUACCUGGGCUUUUCCAUUUUCAUUUUUAACAAGUCCAAAAUGAAGUCCAAAUAAAGUAAAAUUUUAGCCCUUCCGAUCGUGGGGG
Molecule: long non-coding RNA, 876 nt
Filed under: Struthio camelus australis
Lineage: Eukaryota; Metazoa; Chordata; Aves; Struthioniformes; Struthionidae
Description: lncRNA (ENSSCUG00000004753.1)
Source: RNAcentral